This 253-nucleotide ribosomal RNA is filed under the name uncultured bacterium. Its description in RNAcentral is "partial 16S ribosomal RNA". It matches the Rfam family "Bacterial small subunit ribosomal RNA", at positions 524 to 776 of the family's 1533-position model. The record is from RNAcentral.
UACAGAGGUCUCAAGCGUUGUUCGGAUUCAUUGGGCGUAAAGGGUGCGUAGGUGGCGCCGUAAGUCGGGUGUGAAAUUUCGGAGCUUAACUCCGAAACUGCACUUGAUACUGCCUUGCUAGAGUACUGGAGAGGAGAUUGGAAUUUACGGUGUAGCAGUGAAAUGCGUAGAUAUCGUAAGGAAGACCAGUGGCGAAGGCGAAUCUCUGGACAGUUACUGACACUGAGGCACGAAGGCCAGGGGAGCAAACGGG